RNAcentral lists this ribosomal RNA (257 nucleotides) under uncultured bacterium. Its description in RNAcentral is "partial 16S ribosomal RNA". It matches the Rfam family "Bacterial small subunit ribosomal RNA", at positions 524 to 776 of the family's 1533-position model. The record is from RNAcentral.
UACGUAGGGGGCAAGCGUUGUCCGGAUUCAUUGGGCGUAAAGAGCUCGUGAGGCGGUUCGGCAAGUCGGGUGUGAAAACUCCAGGCUCAACCUGGAGACGCCACCCGAUACUGCUGUGACUUGAGUCCGGUAGGGGACCACGGAAUUCCUGGUGUAGCGGUGAAAUGCGCAGAUAUCAGGAGGAACACCGAUGGCGAAGGCAGGUCUGCUGGGCAUUAACUGACGCUGAGGAGCGGAAAGCAUGGGGAGCGAACAGG